CGGCUAUAACAACAUUUCACAAUAACGGCCAAGUUUUCUUUGGACCGGCUUUCAUAUUAAGCUAUAUAACAUGUUCUCUCAGCAUCCAAAAUAUAUCCAGACGAACGUGGUAUUAUAGAGGGGUUCGACUGUAUUUACCUAAGGAUAUAUCCAUACAACAAAGUUUAGGUCAAGAAUCAUGAUAAAACACAAGACAGCAAUGCUAAACAUGAUCUAGACUUGGCCAUCAAUGCUAAAACCUCUAUCUGCAGCAUAAUCAAGAAAACUGUAAAGUGGCAUGACUUUAUCGCCGUAUUUCUCGAGACCAUCUAACUCUCUCUUAGCCUGCGCUCUUAGAUCCUCAGCAACUUUCACAGCCUUCUCAAUGCCAUAAACGCUGACAUAGCUUUUGCCUUUCUUUUUCUUCCCCUCAGUUUUGUUCUCCGUCUUCUUUGCUUCCAAUAUAUCGUCAACAACACGAUAUAAGACACCAACAGCUCGACCGUAUUUUCUCAUGUGUUGGAUCUCCUCAUCUGAAGCACCAGCCAAGAGAGCUCCACAAACGGCAGAGCACUCACCCAUUUCACCAUAUUUCUUUUCUUGAACAAAAUCAACAGCAUUUGGUCCACCCUCAAGGUCAAGGAACUGACCAGCAG
Molecule: unclassified non-coding RNA, 635 nt
Filed under: Hevea brasiliensis (rubber tree)
Lineage: Eukaryota; Viridiplantae; Streptophyta; Magnoliopsida; Malpighiales; Euphorbiaceae
Source: RNAcentral